GACGAACGCUGGCGGCGUGCUUAACACAUGCAAGUCGAACGGAAAGGCCUGCUUUCUCUUGUGGAUUGCGGGUACUCGAGUGGCGAACGGGUGAGUAACACGUGAGUGAUCUGCCCCCAACUUGGGUAUAAGCCUGGGAAACUGGGUCUAAUUCCCGAUAGGACUGCAGGGUGGUGCCUGUGGUGGAAAACGAUCUUCUAGUGGUUGGGGAUGAGCUCGCGGCCUAUCAGCUUGUUGGUGGGGCAAUGGCCUACCAAGGCGGCGACGGGUAGCCCGCCUGAGAGGGUGGACGGCCGCAUUGGGACUGGGAUCCGGCCCAGACUCCUACGGGAGGCAGCAGUGGGGAAUAUAGCACAAUGGGCGGAAGCCUGAUGCAGCGACGGCGCGUGGGGGAUGACGGCCUUCGGGUUGUAAACUCCUUGCGACCGCGAGGAAGCCACCUGGUUGGAAGGGUGGUGACGUUAGUGGUAGAAGAAGCACCGGCUAACUACGUG
RNAcentral lists this ribosomal RNA (494 nucleotides) under uncultured bacterium. RNAcentral's name for it is "partial 16S ribosomal RNA". It matches the Rfam family "Bacterial small subunit ribosomal RNA", at positions 28 to 507 of the family's 1533-position model. The record is from RNAcentral.